RNAcentral lists this ribosomal RNA (253 nucleotides) under uncultured bacterium. Its description in RNAcentral is "partial 16S ribosomal RNA". It matches the Rfam family "Bacterial small subunit ribosomal RNA", at positions 524 to 776 of the family's 1533-position model. The record is from RNAcentral.
UACGUAGGGGGCGAGCGUUGUCCGAAGUUACUGGGCGUAAAGGGCGCGCAGGCGGCUCAUUUUGUCAGGCGUGAAAGCCCCGGGCUUAACCUGGGAACUGCGUUUGAUACGGAUGGGCUAGAGUUCGGGAGAGGAGAGUGGAAUUCCCAGUGUAGAGGUGAAAUUCGUAGAUAUUGGGAAGAACACCGGUGGCGAAGGCGGCUCUCUGGACCGAUACUGACGCUGAGGAACGAAAGCUAGGGGAGCAAACGGG